GAGUUUGAUCGUGGCUCAGAGCGAACGCUGGCGGCAGGCUUAACACAUGCAAGUCGAGCGGGCGUAGCAAUACGUCAGCGGCAGACGGGUGAGUAACGCGUGGGAACAUACCUUUUGGUUCGGAACAACACAGGGAAACUUGUGCUAAUACCGGAUAAGCCCUUACGGGGAAAGAUUUAUCGCCGAAAGAUUGGCCCGCGUCUGAUUAGCUAGUUGGUGAGGUAACGGCUCACCAAGGCGACGAUCAGUAGCUGGUCUGAGAGGAUGAUCAGCCACAUUGGGACUGAGACACGGCCCAAACUCCUACGGGAGGCAGCAGUGGGGAAUAUUGGACAAUGGGCGAAAGCCUGAUCCAGCCAUGCCGCGUGAGUGAUGAAGGCCCUAGGGUUGUAAAGCCCUUUUGUGCGGGAAGAUAAUGACGGUACCGCAAGAAUAAGCCCCGGCUAACUUCGUGCCAGCCGCCGCAGUAAG
Molecule: ribosomal RNA, 471 nt
Filed under: uncultured bacterium
Lineage: Bacteria
Description: bacterial SSU rRNA
Rfam family: Bacterial small subunit ribosomal RNA
Source: RNAcentral